This 950-nucleotide ribosomal RNA is filed under the name uncultured bacterium. Its description in RNAcentral is "bacterial SSU rRNA". It matches the Rfam family "Bacterial small subunit ribosomal RNA", at positions 342 to 1297 of the family's 1533-position model. The record is from RNAcentral.
CGGGAGGCAGCAGUGGGGGAAUAUUGCACAAUGGGCGCUAAGCCUGAUGCAGCGACGCCGCGUUGGGGGAUGACGUCCUUUCGGGUUGUAAACUCCUUUCUAACCAUGACGAAGCUUUUUGUGACGGUAGUGGUAGAAGAAGCACCGGCUAACUACGUGCCAGCAGCCGCGGUAAUACGUAGGGUGCGAGCGUUGUCCGGAAUUACUGGGCGUAAAGAGCUCGUAGGUGGUUUGUCGCGUCGUCUGUGAAAUUCCGGGGCUUAACUCCGGGCGUGCAGGCGAUACGGGCAUAACUUGAGUACUGUAGGGGAGACUGGAAUUCCUGGUGUAGCGGUGAAAUGCGCAGAUAUCAGGAGGAACACCGAUGGCGAAGGCAGGUCUCUGGGCAGUUACUGACGCUGAGGAGCGAAAGCAUGGGUAGCGAACAGGAUUAGAUACCCUGGUAGUCCAUGCCGUAAACGGUGGGCGCUAGGUGUGGGGGUCUUCCACGACUUCCGUGCCGUAGCUAACGCAUUAAGCGCCCCGCCUGGGGAGUACGGCCGCAAGGCUAAAACUCAAAGGAAUUGACGGGGGCCCGCACAAGCGGCGGAGCAUGUGGAUUAAUUCGAUGCAACGCGAAGAACCUUACCUGGGCUUGACAUAUGCAGGAUCGGCACAGAGAUGUGUUUUCCCUUGUGGUCUGUAUACAGGUGGUGCAUGGUUGUCGUCAGCUCGUGUCGUGAGAUGUUGGGUUAAGUCCCGCAACGAGCGCAACCCUUGUCUUGUGUUGCCAGCACGUUAUGGUGGGGACUCGCGAGAGACUGCCGGGGUUAACUCGGAGGAAGGUGGGGAUGACGUCAAAUCAUCAUGCCCCUUAUGUCCAGGGCUUCACACAUGCUACAAUGGUCGGUACAGUGGGUUGCUACACCGUGAGGUGGUGCUAAUCCCUUUAAAGCCGGUCUCAGUUCGGA